AAACAGAACGGGGUUCUGCCUUCGGGUAGCUCCAGCCGGCUGGCCAGAGAUCGAAAUUCGUAUUGAUUGAAAUUGUUUAAUUAAUAAAAUAAAAUAAAUAAAAAAUUCAAAUAUUCAAAUCCCGAUGUUGGGUACGGAGACACCUCCACCGUCUGUCAAAUCCCCGGUUGACCUUGGGGUCUGGUACGGCGUUUUCUUUUCCCCAACUGGAAACGUGCGGUGGAUGUGGCAAGUGCUACUAGUUCGCUGUAAUGAUAAAGAGUUAUUACCCCAUAAGCCCGGAUGCUUAUCAAGGCUCGAGGAGGUGCUCUUCAGCAAAGAAAUAACCCGACCUGAGUUGACUUGAACAGGAAGUAAUAGCUCUCGAAUAAGGUCGGCAAGGAUUUACCUGGCGACGGCCCUUACAGAGGAACUUCCACCCGGUUCCAACAACCUCUACUCAAAGUCGGUGGAAUCAGACGGCAACCACGGAAGGGAAGCUCUUUGGAUUCCAGUCCGGUCGACCGACCGAAGGCAAGAAUACAAAGAACUAGUUCUGUGUCCGGUUUUAUAAGCCCGCAGGGAUUUACCCUACCAGGAUUAUCUUCCCGGGAACAGGUGAGUAAAACGGCAAAACUAAAAGUAAUUAUCAAAUUAAUAGGUCUAGGAAAAUAAUGAAACUAAAACGAAAAGCUCUGGUGGAAUUAAAACGGAAAAUAAAAUAAACUUAAAACGGAUCUCAGGUUUUCGAAACGGGCAGGAAUCGGGUCUGGUUCUGGUUCGGGGAAUGAUUUUAACAUGGAACGGAAUUAAUCGGAAGUGCUCUCUGGUACUUUACAAACACCUUUUAUAGGACACACAACAAGGUGGGAGAUGUAGAAGGGAUUGCAAAUAAAGGAUGGGGACGACAACAGGCGACAUCUAACGAGGGGAUUUUACAAAACAUAGUACAGGAUGUUUCACAAAUAAAAUUCCAACGUUAUCAA
Molecule: long non-coding RNA, 965 nt
Organism: Photinus pyralis (common eastern firefly)
Lineage: Eukaryota; Metazoa; Arthropoda; Insecta; Coleoptera; Lampyridae
Exons: 2
Source: RefSeq, a predicted model, not a curated record